GAUGAACGCUGGCGGCGUGCCUAAUACAUGCAAGUCGAGCGAACAGACGAGGAGCUUGCUCCUCUGACGUUAGCGGCGGACGGGUGAGUAACACGUGGAUAACCUACCUAUAAGACUGGGAUAACUUCGGGAAACCGGAGCUAAUACCGGAUAAUAUAUUGAACCGCAUGGUUCAAUAGUGAAAGACGGUUUUGCUGUCACUUAUAGAUGGAUCCGCGCCGCAUUAGGUAGUUGGUAAGGUAACGGCUUACCAAGGCGACGAUGCGUAGCCGACCUGAGAGGGUGAUCGGCCACACUGGAACUGAGACACGGUCCAGACUCCUACGGGAGGCAGCAGUAGGGAAUCUUCCGCAAUGGGCGAAAGCCUGACGGAGCAACGCCGCGUGAGUGAUGAAGGUCUUCGGAUCGUAAAACUCUGUUAUUAGGGAAGAACAAAUGUGUAAGUAACUAUGCACGUCUUGACGGUACCUAAUCAGAAAGCCACGGCUAACUACGUG
Molecule: ribosomal RNA, 497 nt
Filed under: uncultured bacterium
Lineage: Bacteria
Description: partial 16S ribosomal RNA
Rfam family: Bacterial small subunit ribosomal RNA
Source: RNAcentral